AUGGUGGAAGAUGCUGGACGAUCAUGGGCAAAUGGACAAGAGCAUUUCCACUGGCUGUGGGAAAAUAGGGAAUGUUGGGUCCCGGUGUACUACAUGCACGACUUCUUCCCAUUCUUGCAGACAAUGACAAGGAGCGAGGGAUUCAACGCUGUGUUGAAGAAGUACGCCAACCCAAAUAACUCGCUAGUGGAAUUUGCAAAACAGUACACUGCAAUACAGCAGAAGGUGAUGGUGAGCGUGUCAAAAGAGCACCUGGAAACAUUGUACAAAGAGGUGGAAACAUACUCCUUCAACCCACUUGAGUUACAGGUGCAGGGCCUCUACACGCAUAAUAUUUUCACCAAAUUCCAGAUGGAGAUGAAGGUGAAAACUGGCUACAGAUGUGACACAUUGCAAGAUGGGUCAUUCAAGGUUGGCUCAGUCAGAGGAAUCAUACCAAAAUAUGGGGACAUGGACUACCAUGUGCAAGCAAACAAGGAUGAAGGGGCAUAUUCAUGCACUUGCUGCAAGUUUGAGCGAGAUGUUAGUAAGAGCAUGCCAGAGGAGGGAAAAAACGUCAUGCGAUAUACAUCAAUACUAAGGGACUUCAAGGCAACAGCCAAGGAUGCUUGCCACACAGAUGAUGGGGCCAGGGUGGCCAAGAAGCACCUAUAUGCUUUCAAGGAAGAAAUGGACGCGCUAACAAAAAGCCAACGUAAGAAGGCCAGAAAGGACAAGGAAGAAGCUAGAGGAUCGUUCCAAUCACAACAAGAUCCAUGUUCUAUUCCAGUGGUCGCAACGAGUGAAGCUGUCCAUGCCGAACAGCAAACAAGCAUACCUAACAUGGACAACCCAAACACGGGACAAACAAGCAUCCCUGUGACAAUACAAGCUAGCGCCAACAUGCCAGCCGCUGCAUCCCAUUCCUCGAACACAAAAACGAUACUAGACCCUCCGAAGACUGUCACGAAAGGACGACCGAAAACAAAGAAGCAUCAGCAUCCCUUUGACAUUGCAAAACCAGCAAAACAAAGAAAGUGCAGUGUUUGCGGCAGCGUGCACCACGACAAGCGCAGGUGCACGUCACCUCUAGCAAGAUGA
This 1080-nucleotide ribosomal RNA is filed under the name Triticum aestivum (bread wheat). RNAcentral describes it as "partial small subunit ribosomal RNA". Lineage: Eukaryota; Viridiplantae; Streptophyta; Magnoliopsida; Poales; Poaceae. The record is from RNAcentral.